Molecule: unclassified non-coding RNA, 308 nt
Filed under: plant metagenome
Description: partial contains 5.8S ribosomal RNA, internal transcribed spacer 2, and large subunit ribosomal RNA
Rfam family: 5.8S ribosomal RNA (bases 1-105)
Source: RNAcentral
GAAAUGCGAUAAGUAGUGUGAAUUGCAGAAUUCAGUGAAUCAUCGAAUCUUUGAACGCACAUUGCGCCCCUUGGUAUUCCAUGGGGCAUGCCUGUUCGAGCGUCAUUUGUACCCUCAAGCUCUCUUGGUGUUGGGUGUUUGUCCCGUCUCCGCGCGUGGACUCGCCCCAAAGUGAUUGGCAGCCGGCGUACUGGUCCCGGAGCGCAGCACAUGUCGCGCAAACGAGUGCCUUGGUACGGCGGCGUCCAUAAGCCCCUCUCUCACGCUCUUGACCUCGGAUCAGGUAGGGAUACCCGCUGAACUUAAGC